CACUACAGGCUGCAAAAGGGUU
Molecule: microRNA, 22 nt
Filed under: Gallus gallus (chicken)
Lineage: Eukaryota; Metazoa; Chordata; Aves; Galliformes; Phasianidae
Description: gga-miR-1457
Source: miRBase by way of RNAcentral